This 579-nucleotide ribosomal RNA is filed under the name Triticum aestivum (bread wheat). RNAcentral describes it as "partial small subunit ribosomal RNA". The record is from RNAcentral. Lineage: Eukaryota; Viridiplantae; Streptophyta; Magnoliopsida; Poales; Poaceae.
AUGCCCCCAACGAGUUCCCAAAUGGCAGCCAUAUGCGUUGAAGGGAGUGACCCACAAAAUUGCUUUGACAGGGGUGUUGUUGUAAAUGUUGACACCGUCGUUGUCGGCGAGUCACGCGGAGAUCGAAUUGGCAAAAGAAUUGUGCUUCCACGUACAUUUCCUGGUGGUGAUCGCGACAUGCAGCGGAGGUUCUUGGAUGCUAUGGCAAUAGUGCAGCGGUGGGGUAAACCGGAUUAUUUUAUCACCAUGACUUGCAACCCCUAUUGGGAGGAGAUAACCGAGAAACUGUUGCCUGGACAACUGCCACAGGACCGUCCAGACCUGGUGGCAAGAGUAUACAAGGCUAAACAGCGAGAUAUGAUGGACUUACUAACUAAGGGUAAGCAUUUCGGAGAAGUCGCAGCCUAUGUACAUGUAACUGAGUUUCAGAAGCGAGGUCUCCCUCAUGAGCAUAUACUUCUAAUCAUGAAGGCAAAAAGCAAGUUAGCGACACCAGAUGACUAUGAUCGAGUGAUAUGUGCAAAGAUACCGGACAAAGAGAAACACCCCAUUCUACAUGAUCUGGUCGUCAAACACAUG